GGGCUGGGCACUCACGCAGCGGAGAAGUUCUCUGCCUGCAGCCAGGCCAUGACGUCUUCAGGCUUUGAGAUUCCAGGGCAAGUUGCAGUGUGAGCCCAGCACAGACGUGAGAGCCAGCGGAACCAGAGGCUGGCUUACACAGUUGCUGUCCGUCCCGUGCCUGGAUGGCUGGACACUGUUAUGAGAUGGGACGUCCAGAAUCCUCGAGUGAUUUCAUUUUAAUGAUUGAGCCAAGAGAGCCCGUGAGAACAGGUUGUUUCAGGUGGAAACGAUCCAAGUGUCCAUCAAAAAAAAUGAAUGACAAACAAAAUAUGAUAAAACCAUACAAUGGAAUAUUAUUUAACUGCAAAAAGGAAGGAAAUGCUGACACAUGCUACAAGGAUGAACCUCGAGGAUGUCAUUGAAUGCCAAGGAGAUGAACAGUCAACCUGGAGCUUGAAACUAUGAGUGCCUUUCUGCCUCAGGGAACCGAAACUGCUGUCCUGAAGACAAAUUGCUUGAUUAUUUCCCCAGCUAAAAAUUAACCAGACUGUGCUUUUCUGUACCUAGCUGUUAGCGCCACAGAAUCUCCCUCACCCUACAAAAUCAUCUGUAGGUUGGAUGACCAGUUGAAGAUAGUCUCCUUUUGUCU
This is a long non-coding RNA of Tupaia belangeri chinensis (Chinese tree shrew), 631 nucleotides long. RefSeq lists it as uncharacterized. The record is from RefSeq and is a predicted model, not a curated record. Lineage: Eukaryota; Metazoa; Chordata; Mammalia; Scandentia; Tupaiidae. The transcript is spliced from 3 exons.